UGUGUGUGUGUGUGUGUGUGUAUUGUGAGUGUGUGUCGGGCGUGACUGUGGGUGUUACACACACUGUGGGAAGAUUCCUCAGAUGCCCAGUUUGAUUAAAACUCAGGAUUCCACCACACACACAAACACCUGACAGGCGCUGACAGGCAGUCAGUCUUCUCCACACCCUUUCCUGUGCUCCUGCGCGCUGAAAUGGGUUCACUCCAUGGGUUGAAUAUCAUGACUUGGCCACAGUCCCAGUGGCCGAGUGCUGCAACAGUAAGAGCCAUCCAGGAUGAUGAUCCAGAAGUGAGAAAUGAGAUUACUGCUAAUACGAUUAUGGUAAAAACAGACGAAUGUCCAACCAGCAAACUUCUGAAUUAUUUCUCCAAAUGGGUAACUCUCAAAAGAAUUGUUGAGGUUUGUGUCUUCAUUGUGCACGUGCCGGGGGUUAAUGACACAGGAGCCUGCUUGUGUGAGAAGGAGGCGAUUUUCUCAGCUCCUUCAGAAGAGAGGGAAAAACGGUUCAGUCAAAACUCAAACCAACUUUGAAGUUGUCUGAUUUGGAGAGUCAUCAUUCUUGGUUAUUGUAGAAGCCAUUGAUGAAGAACAGGCAGUGACUGGGAUGAAUGCUGGUCAAAGAAUAUAAUGUCCUUUCCCCCAAACUGAUGCAAUAGUGAUUUUAAUAUUGCUCUGUAUAAUGUAAAAGAUGUUACAUGCCUUUGCUGUGCUGAUGGGGCUUCUUCAUGACUACAUCAAUUAUCCUAAAGAGAUCAUGAAAAUUGACAGUGAUGCAGGACCUGUAUAUUUAUGGACUAUGAAACAAACUGUAAGUGUAUAGUUUGUAAAAACAAAAUAUUAAAUGAUUGUUCUGUUUAGUAGAAAUGGAGUUUACACUCUGUCAUUAAUUCACAUGCUCACAUUCUUUCACACAUAUGUUUCUAAUAAAUGUUAUACAAUCAGUCUUAAUGUUGUGGUUUAUUUACUGCCAUGCCAG
Long non-coding RNA from Cyprinus carpio carpio, 976 nucleotides. The record is from Ensembl. NCBI's taxonomy places the organism in Eukaryota, Metazoa, Chordata, Actinopteri, Cypriniformes, Cyprinidae.